UAAAACCUGAAAAGUGGGGUAUCCCUGGGUGGCUCAGCAGUUUAGCGCUUGCCUUUGGCCAGGGCGUGAUCCUGGAGUCCUGGGAUCGAGUCCCAUGUAGGGCUCCCUGCAUGGAGCCUGCUUCUCCCUCUGCCUCUCUCUGUCUCUGUCUGUCAUAAAUAAAUAAAAUCUUAAAAAAACAAAACCCUGAGAAGUGGACACUGGAAGGGGCCAUCAGGCGGGAAGAGCUUUCAGAGGCCCCCGUUCAAGGCCGAGCCGGGGGGAUGGGGUCAGACCCAGGUGUGCUCAGAUGACACCAGCCCCUACGAGCUGCUGCUAAACAUUCAGGAGUCAGUAAAGCUGCCCACUACUAAAAAGUCAAAUCAUAUAAAAUUAUAGUCAAGUAAAUUAUAUUAAAAACAAAGGUAUUCAACUCAUUACUUCUAAGAAUUUCCGAAUACCUUAUUGUUUAUGGCUUUAAGGUCGUUUACAUCGGUUACGAGUCUGGAAGUACUAUGUGAUCCCUUGUUACUGUGCUUCUCUUUCCCAUCCCGCGUUCAGCGGCGCCGCCUGGAAAUCCGCCGUGGUGGGAGCAUUUGCACCUGGAGGUUGUGGAGACCGGCAGACACCGUACGCCCGGGCCUGAUCCAUGGCUUUGUUGACUGUCUCGAGACUCAGGAAAAUUGUGGAGAAGACGUCAAUAAGGCGCUUUGAAUAUAUAUGUCUCUGUAUCCUGUAUCCUAGAGCUAUUAGGGUGUGGAUGGCACAGAGAAAUCGGGCCAGUGUUCUUCCAGUAUGUUCCAGAAGUACCGCCCGAGUCAGUAAAGAAGCUGCCGACACCACUGACAAGCGUAGAGCUGCAACCUGGACCUUAACGGUUUUGCUCUUUCUUAUGGGCCGGCACGGGCAAAAGUGCCAGCCGGGGUUCACGCUGCAACUACGCCCCCUUGUCCCGUGUAUCACAGGUCAUGCUUUAGCAGGCUGCUGAGAGCGGCGGACGCUCUCUGGGAGACUCGGUUUGCCGUCUGCAAGUACCGUGUAGACGACCGUGUCCUUUACUACUACCGGCUCACAGCGAGGAAACACGCUUGGGUGCCGCUGGUGUGCGGAUAAAGACAGCACGGCCAGGCCUGACCUUCCAAAUCCGGAAGAGAGAGCGACGGCGGAGGCAAACCAGGCAGAGCUUCCUGGGAAAAGGGCGAAGGACCCUGGCCGUCCCGAGGAGAGUGGAUUCGUGGGGAGGAGACCGGCGGCACCGUCACUGCCAUCGAUGGGCCCCAAGGCGGGCGGUGGGGGUGCAGGGCCAGGAGACCCCGGAGGAGGAGCCAGCAGGACGUGGCCCCCGCCCGUGAUGGGAGUGGCCGCCAACGGAAACUGCCCGGUGGUGGUCCCUUCAGCCCAGAAAAAGAAGACAGGUUGGGAUCCCUCGAUGGCUCAGCGGUGGAGUGUCUGCCUUCGGCCCAGGGUGUGAUCCCAGAGA
Canis lupus familiaris (dog) is the source of this 1459-nucleotide long non-coding RNA. RefSeq lists it as uncharacterized. The transcript has 3 exons. Lineage: Eukaryota; Metazoa; Chordata; Mammalia; Carnivora; Canidae. The record is from RefSeq and is a predicted model, not a curated record.